This is a long non-coding RNA of Tachyglossus aculeatus (Australian echidna), 646 nucleotides long. RefSeq lists it as uncharacterized. The record is from RefSeq and is a predicted model, not a curated record. The transcript is spliced from 3 exons. NCBI's taxonomy places the organism in Eukaryota, Metazoa, Chordata, Mammalia, Monotremata, Tachyglossidae.
CCUGGGAAUUCCCAUUCCCGCACAAAACGGGGAAGGGACCGGAGACGGCACUGCUCGUCUCCCAUUCCCUUCCAGUCUGACUGACCCAAUCGGACGCAGUGGGCUGCUUUUGUGUUAGCGGGGACCGUGCUCCCCGACCCCCCCAACUGUCUGACCCCCAAACGGGAAAAACCUCUCCGCAAUAGCAAGAAAUCCCCGGGGGGGUCAAACUUGGCCAGAUCUGAGAAUAUUGGAAUGCCAUGCGGGCCCGUUUGAUACUGUGGAACCGGACCGAGUCCGGAAGGACAGCUGUUGGUGCUGACAAUGACGGUGGUGUAUUAUUUAGCAAUUGCGAUGGACUUGAAUGUGGGCCCUCUUGGGGCAGAUGAAAGGUGUCUCUUUUGGCUGCAAAACGUUAAACAGACAGAAAUUCCCCCAGCCCCGAGAUCUUCCCCUGAACGAAGGGAAUCUAAUACGCUGCUUAGACCUUCAGAUCAGCCAACCCCCUACCCGCCCAGCACUCUCCUGUGGGUAUCUCAGAAACACGUCCCGGUGUCAAGAAAUCAUCGAAUAGAUCGGUUCAUAGGAAAAAUCGAAUAGCCGCUGCGAGGGGCGAGGCGUCUCCCGCGAAACACGCGUGGAAAGCAGGCGAGCGCUAGAAAGGGAC